Molecule: ribosomal RNA, 497 nt
Filed under: uncultured bacterium
Lineage: Bacteria
Description: partial 16S ribosomal RNA
Rfam family: Bacterial small subunit ribosomal RNA
Source: RNAcentral
GACGAACGCUGGCGGCGUGUCUAAUACAUGCAAGUUGAGCGCUGAAGGUUGGUACUUGUACCAACUGGAUGAGCAGCGAACGGGUGAGUAACGCGUGGGUAAUCUGCCUUUGAGCGGGGGACAACAUUUGGAAACGAAUGCUAAUACCGCAUAAAAACUUUAAACACAAGUUUUAAGUUUGAAAGAUGCCAUUGCAUCACUCAAAGAUGAUCCCGCGUUGUAUUAGCUAGUUGGUGAGGUAAAGGCUCACCAAGGCGAUGAUACAUAGCCGACCUGAGAGGGUGAUCGGCCACAAUGGGACUGAGACACGGCCCAAACCCCUACGGGAAGCAGCAGUAGGGAAUCUUCGGCAAUGGAGGAAAGGCUGACCGAGCAACGCCGGGUGAGUGAAGAAGGGUUUCGGAUCGGAAAAAUCUGUUGGUAGAGAAGAAAGUUGGGGAGAGUGGAAAGCUCAUCAAGUGACGGUAACUACCCAGAAAGGGACGGCUAACUACGUG